Non-coding RNA from Trichonephila inaurata madagascariensis, 66 nucleotides. The record is from the annotation of a GenBank genome assembly. NCBI's taxonomy places the organism in Eukaryota, Metazoa, Arthropoda, Arachnida, Araneae, Nephilidae.
AUCCCUGUAGCGCAAUUGAUAGUGCGUUGGGCUUCUAAUCCAAAGGUUCGGAUCCCACCUGAGAUG